Molecule: long non-coding RNA, 1294 nt
Organism: Bactrocera neohumeralis
Lineage: Eukaryota; Metazoa; Arthropoda; Insecta; Diptera; Tephritidae
Exons: 3
Source: RefSeq, a predicted model, not a curated record
GCGGGGCAUGAGGUGGCCAGUGUCAUUGCUAAUUGAGUAUUAUCAUUGCCUGUGAUGACAAUAUCCGAAAAAUAUUUUCAGAUUCGAAUAUUAAAGCUUAAAGCUGCUAUACGAAAUGACCGAUCAAAAUCUAGCUUCUGUGCAAUUGAAAUGAACAUUUUUUAUUUUGCUUGAGAAAGUAAAUUGGGGAUUCUUUUCUUGCCAUACCUUUAGUAUUGAAAAUGCAAUCAUUGCAGACUGAAAAAUGUUUUAAUGACACUACAAAACACACGCAAGAGAAAAUAUGCAAUAUACUACACCAAAACUCAUGCUAAUUUUCAUGCAACGAAGUGUAGCAAAAUAAUUGCAACCCUCUGCCAGUUGUCAUAUUAGACAUACAUACAUACAAUGUAUAUCCAUUUCGCUAUUAUUUUAUUGAGAAAGGCAUAAAUGAGUGAAGAAGGUGAACCCGCCGCAAAAAAGAAAAGGCAGCAGCCACACAAAAAAUGGAAGGAGCGCGAGGUGCUCCUGAUAAUUGACUACCUAAAGGAGGAACCAGAGUUUGAGGCAAGUUUAUAAAUUUGUUUAAAAAUUUAGCCCAAUUAAUUUUUCCUUCUUCUUAGGCUCCAACGGCACGAUUUUACUAUAAGCGGUUUUUGGAAAAGUCGCAGUUAGAUGCCUCUUGGGAACUCGUGCGGUGGAAGGUGCGGCAUUUGAAGGCGCAGUAUAGCAAAGUAAAUGACUGGCUGGCUUCAAAUGGUGCAGGUCUUAUGGACAAAACUUAUGGAAGAACUAUUGCAGCAAAAAUAGGUAAAAUGUGCCCAUAUUUCAAACAGCUCAGGGAAAUUUUAGGCAAACGCGUAUCUACUAUUGAGUUGUUAAUAAUCACGCCCGAAGUUGUUGACUCGCCUUACUCUCAGCUGUGUCCAGCAAGCCCUGCACCUAUUAAAGUAGAAGCUGAAGCUGAAAAAGUAGAAGCUACAUGUGUUUCGCUAAUAAAUUUUGCAACUUCUUCUGUGCCAGAUUCCACCCCAUCAUCCGCAUUUCAGAGAACAAUUUCGCGAGUGCCAAAAGCCUCCAUAGGGCAGAUGGCAGCUGUGCAGAAGCAAAGAAUCGCAAUUGAGGAAAAAAUGCUGCAAUUUGAGAGGGAAAAAUUUGAACACUUAAGAUAGUACAAGAAAAAAAAUUAGACCUAGAAAAAAAAAAUUAGAAAUGGAAUAUAUGUAAGUGGAAGACAUUAGAAUUAGAAAUGAGGAAAAGAGUAGCUAAAUACGAAAUUGACAAAAAAUAUGAAAAUAAAUAUUAAUUAAAUAUA